UGGGGAAUAUUGGACAAUGGGGGGAACCCUGAUCCAGCCAUGCCGCGUGUGUGAAGAAGGCCUUAUGGUUGUAAAGCACUUUAAGCGAGGAGGAGGGUACUGGUAUUAAUACUACCAGCUACUGGACGUUACUCGCAGAAUAAGCACCGGCUAACUCUGUGCCAGCAGCCGCGGUAAUACAGAGGGUGCGAGCGUUAAUCGGAUUUACUGGGCGUAAAGCCUGCGUAGGCGGCUAAUUGAGUCGGAUGUGAAAUCCCCGAGCUUAACUUGGGAAUUGCAUUCGAUACUGGUUAGCUAGAGUGUGGGAGAGGAUGGUAGAAUUCCAGGUGUAGCGGUGAAAUGCGUAGAGAUCUGGAGGAAUACCGAUGGCGAAGGCAGCCAUCUGGCCUAACACUGACGCUGAGGUACGAAAGCAUGGGGAGCAAACAGG
This 430-nucleotide ribosomal RNA is filed under the name Pseudomonadota bacterium. RNAcentral describes it as "Proteobacteria bacterium partial 16S ribosomal RNA". It matches the Rfam family "Bacterial small subunit ribosomal RNA", at positions 355 to 776 of the family's 1533-position model. The record is from RNAcentral. Lineage: Bacteria; Pseudomonadati; Pseudomonadota.